Molecule: ribosomal RNA, 1165 nt
Filed under: Potamolinea magna 48PC
Lineage: Bacteria; Bacillati; Cyanobacteriota; Cyanophyceae; Coleofasciculales; Wilmottiaceae
Description: bacterial SSU rRNA
Rfam family: Bacterial small subunit ribosomal RNA
Source: RNAcentral
GGGGAAUUUUCCGCAAUGGGCGAAAGCCUGACGGAGCAAGACCGCGUGAGGGAGGAAGGCUCUUGGGUCGUAAACCUCUUUUAUCAGGGAAGAAGAAAGUGACGGUACCUGAAGAAUCAGCAUCGGCUAACUCCGUGCCAGCAGCCGCGGUAAUACGGAGGAUGCAAGCGUUAUCCGGAAUUAUUGGGCGUAAAGCGUCCGCAGGUGGUCAUUCAAGUCUGCUGUCAAAGAGUGUGGCUUAACCACAUCAAGGCAGUGGAAACUGAAAGACUAGAGUGCUCAAGGGGUAGAGGGAAUUCUCGGUGUAGCGGUGAAAUGCGUAGAGAUCGGGAAGAACAUCGGUGGCGAAAGCGCUCUACUGGAGAGCAACUGACACUCAGGGACGAAAGCUAGGGGAGCGAAUGGGAUUAGAUACCCCAGUAGUCCUAGCCGUAAACGAUGGAUACUAGGUGUGGCUUGUAUCGACCCGAGCCGUGCCGAAGCUAACGCGUUAAGUAUCCCGCCUGGGGAGUACGCACGCAAGUGUGAAACUCAAAGGAAUUGACGGGGGCCCGCACAAGCGGUGGAGUAUGUGGUUUAAUUCGAUGCAACGCGAAGAACCUUACCAGGGCUUGACAUGUCCGGAAUCUCCUUGAAAGGGGAGAGUGCCUUCGGGAGCCGGAACACAGGUGGUGCAUGGCUGUCGUCAGCUCGUGUCGUGAGAUGUUGGGUUAAGUCCCACAACGAGCGCAACCCUCGUCCUUAGUUGCCAGCAUUAGGUUGGGCACUCUAGGGAGACUGCCGGUGACAAACCGGAGGAAGGUGGGGAUGACGUCAAGUCAGCAUGCCCCUUACGCCCUGGGCGACACACGUACUACAAUGCUACGGACAAAGGGCAGCAAGCCAGCGAUGGCAAGCAAAUCCCAGAAACCGUGGCUCAGUUCAGAUCGCAGGCUGCAACUCGCCUGCGUGAAGGAGGAAUCGCUAGUAAUUGCAGGUCAGCAUACUGCAGUGAAUCCGUUCCCGGGCCUUGUACACACCGCCCGUCACACCAUGGAAGCUGGCCACGCCCGAAGUCGUUACCCUAACCCCUUGUGGGAGGGGGACGCCGAAGGUAGGGCUGGUGACUGGGGUGAAGUCGUAACAAGGUAGCCGUACCGGAAGGUGUGGCUGGAUCACCUCCUUU